UUCAGCAACGGAUCUCUUGGCUCUCCCAUCGAUGAAGAACGCAGCGAAAUGCGAUAAGUAAUGUGAAUUGCAGAAUUCAGUGAAUCAUCGAAUCUUUGAACGCACCUUGCGCCCUUUGGUAUUCCGAAGGGCAUGCCUGUUUGAGUGUCAUUAUAUUC
RNAcentral lists this ribosomal RNA (158 nucleotides) under Mycena aff. pura TL9526. RNAcentral describes it as "5.8S ribosomal RNA". It matches the Rfam family "5.8S ribosomal RNA". Rfam says of the family: 5.8S ribosomal RNA (5.8S rRNA) is a component of the large subunit of the eukaryotic ribosome. It is transcribed by RNA polymerase I as part of the 45S precursor that also contains 18S and 28S rRNA. RNAcentral also lists the same sequence under 3 other names. The record is from RNAcentral. Lineage: Eukaryota; Fungi; Basidiomycota; Agaricomycetes; Agaricales; Mycenaceae.